This 292-nucleotide ribosomal RNA is filed under the name uncultured bacterium. RNAcentral's name for it is "partial 16S ribosomal RNA". The record is from RNAcentral. RNAcentral also lists the same sequence under 2 other names.
GGACUACUCGGGUUUCUAAUCCCGUUUGCUCCCCUGGCUUUCGCGCCUCAGCGUCAGAAGAGGUCCAGCGGGUCGCUUUCGCCACCGGCGUUCCUUCCGAUAUCAACGCAUUUCACCGCUCCACCGGAAGUUCCACCCGCCCCUACCUCCCUCCAGACCAGCAGUAUCCAAGGCACUUUUCCGGUUAAGCCGAAAGAUUUCACCCUGGACUUGCUGACCCGCCUACGCGCCCUUUAAGCCCAGUGAUUCCGAACAACGUUCGCACGGUUCGUCUUACCGCGGCUGCUGGCAC